This 3382-nucleotide long non-coding RNA is filed under the name Homo sapiens (human). RNAcentral describes it as "GOT1 divergent transcript, transcript variant 12 (GOT1-DT)". The record is from RNAcentral. Lineage: Eukaryota; Metazoa; Chordata; Mammalia; Primates; Hominidae.
GAGCGAGCGGCGGGUGUCCCUGAGAGGCCACCUUUCGACCUUCGAGGGCCAGGAGGAUACGGGGAGGUGGCCGGAGGGAGUUCCCGAACACAGGUCUUCCUGUUCCCGCCGAGCAGGUGUUGGCGGUGCCAGGCCCGGCCUGGCGGGCCCGGGCUGGCAGCCAAAUACCCAGCGUCUGUGCUCGGGACGGGAGUGUUCGUCCAGGACGUGCAGCUCCGGAGCCUGCGCGGGCGACCUUGACCACCUUUGUCGGCUGUUUCCCCCUGAGGGAAGUAUACCUGUCCUGCCAGCCUUGGUCUCUGGCAGGGAAGGUCCUUCCAACAGAGAGGGGUGCGCACGAAUUCCUUUUUGCCGCUCUUCUAUUAAUAGUUUGAGAUUUUCCUCCCCGAUUCCUUGCAGAGAGGGCCUGGUCCUCAAGGACCUCGGGAUCUGGGCGCGACGUCCCUUCCCAGCUUCCUCCCGCGCGCACCGGACCAGAUCUUGCUGUCGUCAGCUGGCUGGUACCCAAAGUUCCUCUUCGUCAGGCUGUUCCUUCCCCGUUAGAGUCCUUCCUCCCCAGGAGCCCUCUCCAUCUGCUGACCUUCAAGACCCAGAGCGAAUGCCACUUCAUCCAUGAAGCCUUCCCUUAACCCUUAUCUGGCCAAAAUGUCUCUUUCCUGUGCUUCUGUACUUUCACAAUUUUAGAAAAUGCCUUUGUGGUUAAAAACCUAUCUCCGGGACCGGACUAUCUAGGUUUAGAUUCUGGCUGCCGCUUACGAAUUUGGGCAGGUUUAGUCAAGUUAUUUUAACCUCUCUGUGGAAGUUCCUGCUCUGUGGAAAUAAUAGUAUUUUCCUCAGAGUUGGUGUGGGGAGUUUGUGAGUUAAUACAUUUACGAAGUGGUUAGUUGCAUGUAAGAAGGACUCUCUAAAUGUCAGCUAUUAUUAACAUUGCAUAUCUGCCACACCCUUCAUAGAUGGUAAACUGCUUUUUUUUUUUUUUUUACUUUUAUUUUAGGUUCGGGAUACAUGCACAGGUUUGUUUUAUAGAUAAAUUGCUUGUCAUGUGGGUUUGUUGUACAAAUUAUUUUGUCACCCAGAUAGUAAGCAUAGUACUUGACAGGUAUUUUUUCUGAUCCUCUCCCUCCUCCCACCCUCUAGCCUCAAGUAGGUCCCAGUGUCUGUUGUUCUCUUCUUUGUGUCCAUGUGUUCUCAAUGUUUAGCUCCCACUUACAAGUCAGAACAUGCAGUAUUUGGUUUUCUCUUCCGCAUUAGUUCACUUAGGAUAAAGGCCUCCAGCUCCAUCCAUGUUGCUACAAAGGACAUGAUCUCUUUCUUUUUUAUGGCUGCAUAGUAGUCCAUGGUGUAUAUGUACCGUAUUUUCUUCAGUCUACUGGUGAUGGGCAUUUAGGUUGAUGCCAUGUCUUUACGAUUGUGAAUAGUGCUGCAGUGAACAUACAUGUACAUAUAUCUUUAUGGUAGAAUGAUUUAUAUUCUUUUGGGUAUAGACCCAAUACUGGGAUUGUUGGGUCGAAUGGUAAUUCUGUUUUAAGUUCUUUGAGAAAUCGCCACACUGCUUUCCGCGGUUACUGAACUAAUUUACAUUCCCACCAGCAUUGUAUAAGCAUUCCCUUUUCUCCACAACCUCACCAGAAACCAGCAUCUGUUAUUUCUUGACUUUUAUUAAUAGCCAUUCUGACUGGUGUGAGAUGAUAUCUCAUUGUAGUUUUGAUUUGGGUUUCUCUAGUGAUUAGUGAUGUUGAGUAUUUUAUAUGCUUGUUGGCCAUGUAGCUUCUUUUGGCUAGGGACCUGUGAGUCUCCCUAGGUUUCUUGCACUUACUAAGCCUUCAACAAAUGGUAGAAGAGUCAAUUCUCUUGGUGUUUCAGAAGAAAACAAUAUCACAGCCCCUCUCCACUGGAUAAUACUAUAAAUCUUAAAAUGAAUUUUCAUUCAGAGUAAUAAACACAAGCCAAAGAACUUUGUAUAACAUCCGUCAACUUUUUGUGUUAUCUAUUUCUUUUCCAAAACAUUGCCUCUGGUUUUAAAGGUAACUGCCCACAGUGUUUCACUAAUAACAUUUUAAGCAUUACAAGUUCAACACUGAAGGUCAAAUGACAACGAACUUUCAGUGCUUCCAAAAGCAGGGGCAGAGGGCAACUGCUGAGGGGGGCAUUGUAUAGCCUAACCUUCCCAGAAUUUGAUUUAAAAGUAUGAUCUUCACAGCGUUGGCCAGCAAUAUCAUGGUCACUCCCUACGUCAUUCCCUGGGAGAAAAACAACCCUAGGUUACCUAAACAAUGUUGGCGAAGACCAAAUAUUUAUUAACAUCCUAAGCCGCCCCAUAAUCAAGCCAAUGCUGAUAGGGACAAAGAAGGUGCCAUGUGCAGUUUUUCUCCAUGUCCCCACAAUAUCUGCUCUGAAUUUUAAAAGGCAAUUACUGGGGGAGAAGGAAGCCUAUAUAUUAUGUAGGAUCCAAGUCUCAAACUGCUUUCCUAGGGAGUGUGAGGUUCUUGGAGAUUAAGUGCAGUACCUUUCUGUCUUGAGCCUUGUAGGCUGCCCCUCUAAUUUAAUGCCAGUCUUGAAAUAAACAGAAUGCUUUCCAAGUCAUCGCUAAUUUUAACACUUUAAAUUUAGAAUUGCUUAGAAUUGACUCAACACUGCCUCCUUGCUGAAUGGAUAAUUCAAGCAAACAACUCAAGAGCUGGAUGCUGCCCAGACAGAAGUCCUCCUAGCAUCUUUCUUCUGCCUUCCCCUGCUCCUGUCCCUGAAACCUUUUCUUCAAAAGAAGUGGAAAAGAGGAACUGGGAACCCAUAUAGCAACAGCAUCACCUGGAAUGAAUUCCUUUAGAACAUACUGUCUUGGAAAUCUGAAGCCUGCAGGGCUGGACAGGCAAGAAGAGCAGUGAGCACUGCAUGAACCUAGUCUUGCUGUGUCGCCCAAGCUGGAGUUCAGUGGCACCAUCCUGGCUCACUGCAACUGCUGCCUCCCAGGUUCAAGUGAUUCUCCUGCCUCAGCCUCCCGAGUAGCUGGGAUUACAUGUGCCUGCCACCACGCCUGGCAAGUUUUUGUAUUUUUAGUAGAAAUGGUGUUUUACCAUGUUGGCCAAGACUGGCCUAGAACUCCAGACCUCAAGUGAUCCACCCGCCUCAGCAGCCCAAAGUGGUGGGAUUACAGGCAUGAGCAACUGUGCCUGGCCUAGCCAUUUUCUAUAAACCUGAAAAUAGAUGCCAGAAAAGAAGGUGCCGCUAUAAAAUGCUUUCUUGAGUGAUUUAUGUCUAACAUACAAUUAAACAUUUAUGAGAAGGAAAUUAUCAGGUUAAAAUAUAAACUCACUUGCCAAUUAUUUGAUUUUCAGGAUAUCUGACUUUUGUUAAUUACUGAAAAUAAAGUAUUAUUUCUAAUCAC